Long non-coding RNA from Zalophus californianus (California sea lion), 586 nucleotides. RefSeq lists it as uncharacterized. The record is from RefSeq and is a predicted model, not a curated record. Lineage: Eukaryota; Metazoa; Chordata; Mammalia; Carnivora; Otariidae. The transcript has 3 exons.
GAGGGCUUUCACCUGCCCUGCCGGGGAGCCGGGGCCUCAGCCCUGGCCUGCCUCCCCACUCGUCCGCACCUCCUGCUUCCUCAUGGAGUCCGGGAUUGCUGCCAGGAGCUGUGAAGAGAGGGCCUGAAGUGCUGUGUGCCGUGUCACCACCCUGGCCUGGGACAGCACCCAGCAGGCACCUGCGACCCAGCUGUACCCCACAGUGUCUUCCCAGAGGCAGGCCGGCUGCACCCUGAAACAGCAGAGUGUGGCAGUUCCCUCAGGCCCCGGAGGUGGGCCUCAGCAUGUGGGCGGCACUGAGAGCGAAGGGGUGAAGGGGAAGGGCAUGCCCAGAGUGGACGACAGGAGAAGCAUGACAAUAGAGGAAAAGUGCAGGACAUCCUCCAGUGACAGGGAGCAAGCCAUGGAGGCAAGCAGUGCCUUCCGAGGCCCCAGCAGCUGGCCAGGGGCCAGGUGAGACGCAUGGGGCUUGCCCUUGAGAAGCCUGCUGAGGCUGCAGGUCGUCAGAGCGCACUGUAGCCACGGCUGUGAGGUGCACUGAAGGCGUCUGAAACCAGGUCGCCCACAGGAUGUUGGAAGCCGCAGG